AACGCGAAGAACCUUACCUGGCCUUGACAUCCAGAGAACUUUCCAGAGAUGGAUUGGUGCCUUCGGGAACUCUGAGACAGGUGCUGCAUGGCCGUCGUCAGCUCGUGUCGUGAGAUGUUGGGUUAAGUCCCGUAACGAGCGCAACCCCUAUCCCUGGUUGCUAGCAGGUAAUGCUGAGAACUCCAGGGAGACUGCCGGUGACAAGCCGGAGGAAGGUGGGGAUGACGUCAGGUCAUCAUGGCCCUUACGGCCAGGGCUACACACGUGCUACAAUGGCGCGUACAGAGGGCUGCCAACUCGCGAGAGUGAGCCAAUCCCUUAAAACGCGUCGUAGUCCGGAUCGGAGUCUGCAACUCGACUCCGUGAAGUCGGAAUCGCUAGUAAUCGCGAAUCAGAAUGUCGCGGUGAAUACGUUCCCGGGUCUUUACACACCG
RNAcentral lists this ribosomal RNA (434 nucleotides) under uncultured bacterium. RNAcentral's name for it is "bacterial SSU rRNA". It matches the Rfam family "Bacterial small subunit ribosomal RNA", at positions 958 to 1392 of the family's 1533-position model. The record is from RNAcentral.